GCUAAUACCGCAUAACGUAUCGGGAUGGCAUCUUCCUGAUACCAAAGAUUUUAUCGCUUAGAGAUGGGCUCGCGUCUGAUUAGAUAGUUGGCGGGGGUAACGGGCCCACCAAGUCGACGAUCAGUAGCCGGACUGAGAGGUUGAACGGCCACAUUGGGACUGAGACACGGCCCAGACUCCUACGGGAGGCAGCAUG
This 196-nucleotide ribosomal RNA is filed under the name uncultured bacterium. RNAcentral describes it as "partial 16S ribosomal RNA". It matches the Rfam family "Bacterial small subunit ribosomal RNA", at positions 162 to 353 of the family's 1533-position model. The record is from RNAcentral.